CCCUUAGAUGUCCUGGGCUGCACGCGCGCUACACUGACGAACUCAACGAGCUUAUCACCUUGGCAGAGAUGUCUGGGUAAUCUUUUGAAAGUUCGUCGUGCUGGGGAUAGAUGAUUGUAAUUAUUCGUCUUGAACGAGGAAUUCCUAGUAAGUGUGAGUCAUCAGCUCGCGCUGAUUACGUCCCUGCCCUUUGUACACACCGGCCGUCGCUCCUACCGAUUGAAUGGUCCGGUGAGGUUCUCGGAUUUUUUCUGUUGUUUGGUUCGCUAAACGAUUGAAGAGAGAAGUUACCCAAACCUUACCAUUUAGAGGAAGGAGAAGUCGUAACA
Molecule: ribosomal RNA, 329 nt
Filed under: uncultured eukaryote
Lineage: Eukaryota
Description: partial 18S ribosomal RNA
Rfam family: Eukaryotic small subunit ribosomal RNA
Source: RNAcentral